Molecule: ribosomal RNA, 772 nt
Filed under: uncultured Hyphomonas sp.
Lineage: Bacteria; Pseudomonadati; Pseudomonadota; Alphaproteobacteria; Hyphomonadales; Hyphomonadaceae
Description: bacterial SSU rRNA
Rfam family: Bacterial small subunit ribosomal RNA
Source: RNAcentral
CUGGCGGCAGGCCUAACACAUGCAAGUCGAACGACAUAGUGGCAGACGGGUGAGUAACGCGUGGGAACGUACCUUUCGCUACGGAAUAGCUCUUGGAAACGAGUGGUAAUACCGUAUACGCCCUUCGGGGGAAAGAUUUAUCGGCGAAAGAUCGGCCCGCGUUAGAUUAGUUUGUUGGUGGGGUAAUGGCCUACCAAGACUACGAUCUAUAGCUGGUCUGAGAGGAUGAUCAGCCACACUGGGACUGAGACACGGCCCAGACUCCUACGGGAGGCAGCAGUGGGGAAUCUUGCACAAUGGGCGAAAGCCUGAUGCAGCCAUGCCGCGUGAAUGAUGAAGGCCUUAGGGUUGUAAAAUUCUUUCGCUAGGGAUGAUAAUGACAGUACCUAGUAAAGAAGCCCCGGCUAACUUCGUGCCAGCAGCCGCGGUAAUACGAAGGGGGCUAGCGUUGUUCGGAAUUACUGGGCGUAAAGCGCACGUAGGCGGACUUUUAAGUCAGAUGUGAAAUCCCGGGGCUCAACCUCGGAACUGCAUUUGAAACUGGAAGUCUGGAGUUCAGGAGAGGUUAGCGGAAUACCGAGUGUAGAGGUGAAAUUCGUAGAUAUUCGGUGGAACACCAGUGGCGAAGGCGGCUAACUGGACUGAUACUGACGCUGAGGUGCGAAAGUGUGGGGAGCAAACAGGAUUAGAUACCCUGGUAGUCCACACCGUAAACGAUGACAGCUAGUUGUUGGCAGGCAUGCCUGUCGGUGACGCAGCUAACGCAUUAAGC